This 402-nucleotide ribosomal RNA is filed under the name uncultured bacterium. RNAcentral's name for it is "bacterial SSU rRNA". It matches the Rfam family "Bacterial small subunit ribosomal RNA", at positions 354 to 773 of the family's 1533-position model. The record is from RNAcentral.
GUGGGGAAUAUUGGACAAUGGGCGAAAGCCUGAUCCAGCAAUGCCGCGUGAGUGAUGAAGGCCUUAGGGUUGUAAAGCUCUUUUACCCGGGAUGAUAAUGACAGUACCGGGAGAAUAAGCCCCGGCUAACUCCGUGCCAGCAGCCGCGGUAAUACGGAGGGGGCUAGCGUUGUUCGGAAUUACUGGGCGUAAAGCGCACGUAGGCGGCUUUGUAAGUUAGAGGUGAAAGCCCAGAGCUCAACUCUGGAAUUGCCUUUAAGACUGCAUCGCCAGAAUUGUGGAGAGGUAAGUGGAAUUCCGAGUGUAGAGGUGAAAUUCGUAGAUAUUCGGAAGAACACCAGUGGCGAAGGCGACUUACUGGACACAUAUUGACGCUGAGGUGCGAAAGCGUGGGGAGCAAAC